Cydia pomonella (codling moth) is the source of this 1889-nucleotide long non-coding RNA. RefSeq lists it as uncharacterized. The record is from RefSeq and is a predicted model, not a curated record. The transcript is spliced from 3 exons. NCBI's taxonomy places the organism in Eukaryota, Metazoa, Arthropoda, Insecta, Lepidoptera, Tortricidae.
ACAAAAGUCUUGUUUAGGCAUAAUUUUGAUUAUGUGAUGUUACUAGGGUAAUUUUAAAAAUUGCUAUUAAUCCUUUUUUAACCGACUUCAAAAAAGGAGGAUGUAUAUAUGUUACUGGAUAUCUCCGAGAAUCGUGAACUGAUUUUUAAUCAUUUUUUUUAAUCGAACGGGUAUAAUCCCGAGAUGGUCCCGUUGGCACCAAGUCGGGGUCUGAUGAUGGGAUCUUGGAGAAAUCGAGGGAACUCUUCAAAUGUUAUAGGUACAUGUAUGGCGCUAUUGGUAAUAUUUGAAGUCGGUUUUAUUUUUUGUAAAAAGUUUUAUUUAUACUCUUUUUUUUGACGUACUGUUAACGUGUACAUGUUAUGUUAUGUUGUGUCGUAUGUACAAUAUAUGUUACCGGGUUUUAGUGGUUUAGUUUGAUAAUGAUCGAGUGUAUUUGUUGGCAGAUGUUUGACCUGCAGUGCGGGCGGCUGCUGACGCGGCGGCUGCCGGCGGCGCUGGCGGCGCUCGGCCCGCGGCGGCGCCUCACGCUGCGGCUGUGGUGCGCCGAGCUCGAGUACGAGCUGUACACGAUCACAGAGACUUACCCGGACAUUGUGCUGGACUUCAGCCUGGCUCUGUUUCAAAUACACAACUAUUAAUUUGUUAUUAUUUUGUUAUUUUGUUAAGCAUGUAUUUUUGUUGAUUUGUUAAGCGUUAAUCUAAUAUGUAUCUAAAAGCUAAUUCAAUAGAAAUUGCAAAAAGUCAAAGAGCCAAUCUACACAGGUAAUUGAGGUCAACGUGGCGAAGACCGUCUAUCAGGUAAAACCGUCUACAAGCUCUUUUGAUGCUUUAAAGUACGGACCAAUUUACCAUUUAUACAUUUACAUAUGGAGUGUGGAUUAAAAGGAGUGCAAUCUCUUAUGGUAGAACUGUUGCAAAAGUGUCCAGCUGUCAGCUCUAUAAAUAAUAGUUCCAAAUACCUCCAGAGUAGCGCUAGAGUAGCUAAGAACCUAGGCGUUAUUGACGGAGUGAAGUGCGCUGUCUAUGAUUUGAUUUUUUGUUCAAGUACUCUAGGUAUUGUAGCGCCACCUAUUUAAGGUUUUUUGAUGACACUUUUUGGUAUAUGGAGAUUUCUUUCCUUACCUCCACCUUCCAUACAUUUACACCUUGGAUUGAUGACAUGUGUCAAUUACUUUUUUCUAGUAUAAUAAUAAUCGUAUUAUAUUAUAUGUUAACCUUUUGUUAUUUCGAUUGAGUUCCAUUUUAAUUAAAAAAUUUAAUUCUAUCAAAGAUUAAACACAGAACCCUGUGAGCCUAAAGUGAUUUUUUUUGUAAUAAACGUACUUGGUAAAUUUUUGAUUCGUUUUUCUUUGUUGACUGUACUUUCGGUAUUACAAGGGCAUCGUCUCCAGUUUAUGCAAUACGUUGUAUAAACUUGUAGGAAACAGGAGCUAGCAAGAAAUUAUUCGUCAAAGGUUUAAAAUACUCCCACGUUCCGUUAGUAGGUACUCCGCUUUACUUCGUAGCUUUUUAUUUUCACGAAAUGAACGAAGGUUUGAAAUAAGUUUUGGGGCUAACCUUCUGGCACACAUUGAAAGUUUUCAGCGCGUGUUCCAUAUAAUUGCGGUUCUGGCGAUAAAACCAAAUUAUUGUGCUGGCUGACCAUAAAUACUUUUUAUCGUCCAAAUCGUAUCGCAAUAGAGACGCGGCUCCGACAUUCGGUGUUACCUAAAUACACUUUACUGCCAAUUCUGUCCAUCAGAAUACGUAACUAGCUAAAAAUAAUUACCAACCAAGGCGUAGUUCAGUCGAACAGGCACUUUCGAUUGUAUGGGUUAUUCCCACCUGUUACCACCAAGUUGUUACUACUGGUAAAUACUAAAAAAUAUUUUUCCCAGUAGUUAGCA